GCCCUGCUAGCUCACCGGACAGAGCAGCCGUUUCCUAGGCGGCGGGUACCAGGUUCGAUUCCUGGGUGGGGCAC
RNAcentral lists this transfer RNA (74 nucleotides) under Gordonia phage Stormageddon. RNAcentral describes it as "tRNA-Arg". It matches the Rfam family "tRNA". Rfam says of the family: Transfer RNA (tRNA) molecules are approximately 80 nucleotides in length. Their secondary structure includes four short double-helical elements and three loops (D, anti-codon, and T loops). Further hydrogen bonds mediate the characteristic L-shaped molecular structure. tRNAs have two regions of fundamental functional importance: the anti-codon, which is responsible for specific mRNA codon recognition, and the 3' end, to which the tRNAs corresponding amino acid is attached (by aminoacyl-tRNA synthetases). tRNAs cope with the degeneracy of the genetic code in two manners: having more than one tRNA (with a specific anti-codon) for a particular amino acid; and 'wobble' base-pairing, i.e. permitting non-standard base-pairing at the 3rd anti-codon position. The record is from RNAcentral. Lineage: Duplodnaviria; Heunggongvirae; Uroviricota; Caudoviricetes. RNAcentral also lists the same sequence under 1 other name.